Molecule: ribosomal RNA, 545 nt
Filed under: uncultured bacterium
Lineage: Bacteria
Description: bacterial SSU rRNA
Rfam family: Bacterial small subunit ribosomal RNA
Source: RNAcentral
AAUAGAUACCCCGGUAGUCCACCCCGUAAACGUUGGGAACUAGUUGUGGGGUCCUUUCCACGGAUUCCGUGACGCAGCUAACGCAUUAAGUUCCCCGCCUGGGGAGUACGGCCGCAAGGCUAAAACUCAAAGGAAUUGACGGGGACCCGCACAAGCGGCGGAGCAUGCGGAUUAAUUCGAUGCAACGCGAAGAACCUUACCAAGGCUUGACAUACACCGGAAACGGCCAGAGAUGGUCGCCCCGCAAGGUCGGUGUACAGGUGGUGCAUGGUUGUCGUCAGCUCGUGUCGUGAGAUGUUGGGUUAAGUCCCGCAACGAGCGCAACCCUCGUUCUAUGUUGCCAGCACGUAAUGGUGGGAACUCAUGGGAUACUGCCGGGGUCAACUCGGAGGAAGGUGGGGAUGACGUCAAAUCAUCAUGCCCCUUAUGUCUUGGGCUUCACGCAUGCUACAAUGGCCGGUACAAAGGGCUGCAAUACCGUGAGGUGGAGCGAAUCCCAAAAAGCCGGUCCCAGUUCGGAUUGAGGUCUGCAACUCGACCUCAUG